UACGGAGGGUGCGAGCGUUGUCCGGAAUCACUGGGCGUAAAGGGCGCGUAGGCGGCGCGGAUAGUCGGCGGUGAAAGCCCGGAGCUCAACUCCGGGUCGGCCGUCGAUACUUCCGGGCUUGAGCACUGUAGAGGCAGAUGGAAUUCCGGGUGUAGCGGUGGAAUGCGUAGAGAUCCGGAAGAACACCGGUGGCGAAGGCGGUCUGCUGGGCAGUUGCUGACGCUGAUGC
This 229-nucleotide ribosomal RNA is filed under the name uncultured bacterium. RNAcentral describes it as "partial 16S ribosomal RNA". It matches the Rfam family "Bacterial small subunit ribosomal RNA", at positions 524 to 752 of the family's 1533-position model. The record is from RNAcentral.